Molecule: transfer RNA, 73 nt
Filed under: Saccharomonospora viridis
Lineage: Bacteria; Bacillati; Actinomycetota; Actinomycetes; Pseudonocardiales; Pseudonocardiaceae
Also listed under: 1 other name
Description: tRNA_Ala_TGC
Rfam family: tRNA
About the family: Transfer RNA (tRNA) molecules are approximately 80 nucleotides in length. Their secondary structure includes four short double-helical elements and three loops (D, anti-codon, and T loops).
Source: RNAcentral
GGGGCUGUAGCUCAAUUGGUAGAGCGCCGCUCUUGCAAGGCGGAGGUCAGGGGUUCGAUUCCCCUCAGCUCCA